UAGAAAUGCUUUCAAUCUUGGCUGGAUCUAAGGAUGAUGCAAUUAAUGCUUCCAUUGCUUUGUUUUUAGAGACCUCGUGCCCAGUAUCAACCAGAGAAUCCCUCUCUUCAUCCAACUGUUUUUCUCUGGAUGAACCAAACGUCCCACGAAUCCUGGUUCACCUUGGGGCGCUCCACCACCAUCAAUCAGCCUAAUCUGCUGCUCCUGUGUAGGUUGUUGAUUGUCAAUAGAAGCUUCUUUUGGAGAAUUGCAAUUUGUGGAAUUUGAACUAGCUUCAUGUUUGUCUUGACGCGCUCCACCACUAUCAAUCAACCCAAUAUGCUGCUCUUGUGUAGGCAUGGCAUGAACAUAAACAUGGUUGGCCAAGGAUAACUUGCAAAUGAAGCACUCAUGAUGGAAGCAAGCAAACAUGAACAAUGGAGUGAUGGAUUAAGGGUGUUGUUAUGUUAACACAAGUUGGCGGCUAACCUCAACUUUUACUUCACCAUUCCGCUUCUGUUUCGAUAGGAACAACUGUUGGUUUUGACGGCGUGCAUCAUCUAUAUGUGCUACAUGAGAUGCUUUGGACUCGUUAUCUUCUUGAGCAUUACUGGAUGAGACAUCCACCUCCACGGAUGAUGACAAAUUUCAGGUAUAGUAGCCGGGAGUGGUUGUGGGUUGUCAGAAUAAUCUCCGUCCACAGGCGGAACUGAAGCAUUUUGAUUGCUUCAGUUCUGCUCCGCUACAGUUUCAAGCUAUUGUCUUGAGUUACCUGCAUAAUGCCUUCUUGUACCAGAAGCUGGGAAAGAAAGCUGCUUCUUAGCAGGAGUACUUGGCACUUUGCUUUUAGUCUUUGCAACCUUUGCAGGUGCUGGAAGUACGCUCCUUGAAGCUAGAGUUUGAUGACUUGGUUUUUGGCUUGUAGGAGAGUUUUUACUAUCUUGAUUUUGAUCUCUUAGAGCAUACAAUUUGGAGAUUUCUCCAACUCACAUAGUGUGAUUUGCAGCAC
Lathyrus oleraceus (garden pea) is the source of this 988-nucleotide long non-coding RNA. RefSeq lists it as uncharacterized. The transcript has 5 exons. The record is from RefSeq and is a predicted model, not a curated record. Lineage: Eukaryota; Viridiplantae; Streptophyta; Magnoliopsida; Fabales; Fabaceae.